RNAcentral lists this long non-coding RNA (1203 nucleotides) under Sus scrofa (pig). The record is from RNAcentral. Lineage: Eukaryota; Metazoa; Chordata; Mammalia; Artiodactyla; Suidae.
CUCACUCUCAACACCAGGUUCACAAUGCCUACCGAAGACUGAAGUUUAAUCAGGAUAUCCCUUAAACCCUCCUAACCGACUACCAGUCUAGCAAGCGUUGAGUGAAAAUAAUAUUGGAGUACAGAUUCACACCAGGGAGCAGUACAAACAGAAGACACAAAGCCAAGUGUGGAAACACACAAGCCAGCUUCCAUAUUGUGAACUGCCUUGUUGAGAGGCCCCGGUGUCAAGGAACUGAGAGAACUUUCUGGCCAACCGCCAAUGGGAAACUGAGUCCCUCAGUUCAACUACCUCUGAGGAAAUGAAUCCUGAUAAUAACAAUGACUAACUGGACAUGAUCCCUCCCUGCUUCCAAGUCCUCCAAGUCAGUUGAGCCUUCAAUAGAGAUCACAGCAUUGGUCAUUACCUUGAUUGCAGUCUUUUAAGAGACCCUGACUGAGAGAACCUAGCCAAGAUGAGGCUGAAUUUCUGAGCAACAGAGAUUUGUGAGAUAAUAGGUAGUUAAUCUGAGCCACUCUGUUUUGGGUAAUUUGUUAUACAGCAAAAGCUAUGUGGUACAUCUACACAUUUAGCUAAAACUUCACAUAAAAUGGUAUAAAUAUUAUUUACUGGGGUAUUUACUAUUAAUCCUCCCACUUAAAAAGAUAGUAUUAAUAAUCUAAGCCAAGUAUCAUGAGAGGUACUCUGGUUAUUUCUGUUCCUAUUAAUUAUUGCUCAGAUAAAUUUCAAUACUAGAAAGCAGGAAAUGUAUGUUUUUCAAAUGCGACCUAUUGGAAAAACAUUGUCAUGAAAGCCUGCAGGCACUAUUUGGUGAUUCCUCUUCUCUGCUGGUUCAGUGGUACCAUAAUUUUUUUUAAACUGCUCUGACAUUACAAGCUGAAUGCUAUUUCAACAUGUCUUUAUUUUUUUUCUUAAAAAGAUUUUUUAAGUUGCUUCCUCCUGCUUCCCAUUAUGAAAUGACAUCCCUACAUCUUUUUCUUUUUUUUUUUCUCAUACUCUGCUUCUGAUGUUUGACAUGGUGAUUUUCUUUUUAAUUAUAUCAUGUGUUCUUAUUUGUAUCUAUGCUGACUUUAGAAAAUUAAUUCCUGCAGUUCAUAGCUAUAUGUUUCAAAGAUAGCCUUCUUUGAAUGAAAUUAAAAGGAAAAAUGCUAAAAUUCAUUUCCCAACUCACAUGUGAUUCAUUUUAAAGAAACUCACUUUAUG